CCACUCUCUCAUUUUUUCGUCCUCCCCCAAAUCUGUACAAGUGCUUGGUGUUCCCGGAGGGGUUCUUUUGACGUUCAGAUCCGACCGCUCCUGCAAUACCAGAUAGAGAGAAAGAUGGCCGAUGCUGCUGGUCAAGUGGUUUGUGGAGUUUGUUUCAACCAUUGCAACUAUGAGAGCAAGGGAAGCGGUUUCAGCACGUUUGCAUGGGAGGAGUUCAACAAUGCAGGGGUUGUGCCUUGCAAUGAAAGGGUCUGUUUCAAUAAUGUGACUAGAGAGAAGGUGACUUUGUGGCAAACCAAAGGACAUACACUGUAAAGUGUUAAAAGGGUCGUACAAAGAGUGCUAUGUAUGGGAGCGGUUGGACGAAGUUCUAUGAUGACAACAAGCUAGGGAAGGGUCAGAUGGUGGUGUUCUUCCUGGAUGAACCUUUGCCUAGGGCAGCUAUUUGUGUGAUCCAAGUGGGCAGCGGUUCCGAAGAUGAACAGCCUAUGGAAGAGGGUGAUCCCAUUGAAGAUUCAGAUUCAGAUGAUGAGGAUGGAGAAGCUUCAAGCGAUGAUGGUGAAGGCAUUGUUCGCAUCAGGGGGCUUCUACUUAAUGAGACAGAGUGUUUUCAGCUACAAGGGCUGCUGCCUCUCAGUGAUGAUUUCAUCGGGUUUCCUUUCGUUCACCGCCUCACAAGGACAGACAAUUGUUUGGGCAUGAUGUCACUGGAAUGUGGAUCCAGGCUCAACAUCUUUCUAGAGGCCACCCAACGGCACUGUUCGAAUUGAGACACAGAGAGAAAACGGGAGAGGAAGGAAGCCACAUCACGGGGGCGGGGUUUCCGCGGCGGAACUCGCCGGCGAUGAGAUGCUCGGCGACGCCCGUGAGGAGAUGCUCGGCGAUCCGAGCGCCCCUCCAGAUUCCUCGUGCCUUGCUGAUGAGGGUCUGAUGGAUGCCCGCAUGCAGAUUGAACGCGAGAUCGAAACUAAAGCCAAGUCCUCCUUGAAAGAAGGGUUAGGUCAACAGCUUAAAAUUGAUCAUAUGAAGGAGUCCAAAGACUUAAAAAGAGAUUGCCUAAACAAUGUGCCGCACACAGGUACAGCUUUUGAAGUUGAAGGAGGGAAACCUGGGAGUGAUAGAAAUGAAGAAGGCGGAGAUAAGUUGUGUUAAAGAUAUUGAUUUAGAAGAGAGAGGCUAUGAUGUCGAGAUCACUGACACUGAAGCAUCAGAGGGUUUGCUAUGCGAAGAAGUUCUGACAUUGCUGAGUAAGAGUGCUCAAAGGAAAGAACGACGGGAAGCUCUUUUGGAACGAAAAAAGAAGAUACAUCACUACUUUUUCUUUUUUUUCAUCAGUUGGGGUUCCAUUUUUUUUAUAGUUUUCCAGCUCAAAUAAAUUCACACACCUUUUUACCUUCUAUAUUUCUUUUGCAGCAGAGAGCAAGGAUUGACCCAACCACAACAAAGGUCACCAUUGAUGAGAUUGCAACUAAAGCUUACAGCCGGUGCAGUGUGCCAUACUUCUUUGAGAUUGUCAAUCUCGUGUGGAAGAGCCACCGCAGGGCCCAGCUUGUUAGGAACAGUGGUUUUGGCUAUCUGCUGGAGCUGGUCGACUGUCCUGUACCCAGGGGUUUGUGCAGUGGAUUGCUGAUAAUGUGGACACACAAGCAGAAGCAACUGUUUUGAACAAGAGCAUUCCACUCAACGCUCAGUCAGUGGAGUUUGUGUUGGGGAUUCCUGCAGGGUUUUACCUGACAGAGAGAACAUACAACUGGGAGAGGAGCAAAAGUUUUCCUCUUGUUUAGCUAUACAUGGGCUUUUUGCUUUUUUUUGUGUGUUUGCUACGUCCAUGGGCAGGGUCACAGGUACAACGGGCCAAACAGACAGCAAAAACAAAAAACAAACAAACAAGCAAGCCCACACCACAAGCCCAUGCUAAGCAGGCCUAAUCUGCCAAGGAUGACGUCAGCUGACUGAGACUUCGCGAAGUCUCAGUCGACUGAGACCUGGACAGUCCCAUAGGAUAAGCACCACGGAGAGAGAGAAGGAAUCGAUGGAGGCCAUUGCGCAUGCUCGAAGGACUCUGGUUUUAUGUUCCAAAAAAAAGGACUCAGGUUUUUAUUUUAUAUUUUGAAGAAGAAACGAUUGACGGAAAAGGGAGA
Molecule: RNA transcript, 2141 nt
Organism: Triticum aestivum (bread wheat)
Lineage: Eukaryota; Viridiplantae; Streptophyta; Magnoliopsida; Poales; Poaceae
Exons: 8
Source: RefSeq, a predicted model, not a curated record